This 1367-nucleotide ribosomal RNA is filed under the name metagenome. RNAcentral describes it as "SSU rRNA". It matches the Rfam family "Eukaryotic small subunit ribosomal RNA", at positions 1 to 1427 of the family's 1831-position model. The record is from RNAcentral.
UCUGGUUGAUCCUGCCAGUAGUCAUAUGCUUGUCUCAAAGAUUAAGCCAUACAUGUCUAAGUAUAAAUAGUAUACAGUGAAACUGCGAAUGGCUCAUUAAAACAGUUAUAGUUUAUUUGAUAAUUGACAAUUACAUGGAUAACCGUGGUAAUUCUAGAGCUAAUACAUGCUUAAACGCCCGACUUUAUGGAAGGGUGUAUUUAUUAGACUGAAGCCAAUAUUCCUUGUGUCUAUUGCGGUGAUUCAUAAUAACUGAUCGAAUCUCUUUUUGAGAUAAAUCAUUCAAGUUUCUGCCCUAUCAGCUUUCGAUGGUAGUGUAUUGGACUACCAUGGCAGUAACGGGUAACGAAGAAUUAGGGUUCGAUUUCGGAGAGGGAGCAUGAGAAACGGCUACCACAUCUAAGGAAGGCAGCAGGCGCGUAAAUUACCCAAUCCUGACUCAGGGAGGUAGUGACAAGAAAUAGCAAACCGGGAACCUCAUGGUUUCACGGUAUUGCAAUGAGAACAAUUUAAAACCCUUAGCGAGAAUCAAGUGGAGGACAAGUCUGGUGCCAGCACCCGCGGUAAUUCCAGCUCCACUAGCGUAUAUUAAAGUUGUUGCAGUUAAAAAGCUCGUAGUUGAACCUCUGUCUGGGGCUAGUUUUGGCUUUGGUCAGGCUAGUUCUAGGCAUCCGCCUACAAGACUUAGAGGGCAUUCAGUUGUUCACUAGGAGGAGUAGGCAUUUUACUUUGAAAAAAUUAGAGUGUUUAAGGCAGGCAAUCGCCCGCAUAUAUUAGCAUGGAAUAAUAGAAUAGGACACUUUUCCAUUUCGUUGGUUAUUGGAAUCGUGUAAUGAUUAAUAGGGACAGUUGUGGGCAUUUGUAUUUAAUUGUCAGAGGUGAAAUUCUUGGAUUUAUUAAAGACAAACUAACGCGAAAGCAUUUGCCAAGGAUGUUUUCAUUAAUCAAGAACGAAAGUUAGGGGAUCAAAGACGAUCAGAUACCGUCCUAGUCUUAACUAUAAACUAUUCCGACUCAAUGUUUGACUGGCUUAUAUAACCAGUUGAGCGUUGUAUGAGAAAUCAAAGUCUUUAGGUUCUGGGGGGAGUAUGGUUGCAAAGCUGAAACUUAAAGGAAUUGCCGGAAGAGCACAACCAGGAGCGGAUUCUGCGGCUUAAUUUGACUCAACACGGGGAAACUUACCAGGUUAAAACAAUAGUGGGAUUGACAGUUUGAGAGCGCUUUCUUGAUUGGUUGGGUGGUGGUGCAUGGCCGUUCUUAGUUGGCGGAGUGAUUUGUCUGCUUAAUUGCGUUAACGAACGAGACCUUAACCUGCUUACUAGACUGGCGAUCAUCAAUCGUUAGCUCUUCUUAGAGGGACUUUGGUU